Manacus vitellinus (golden-collared manakin) is the source of this 979-nucleotide long non-coding RNA. RefSeq lists it as uncharacterized. The record is from RefSeq and is a predicted model, not a curated record. The transcript is spliced from 6 exons. Lineage: Eukaryota; Metazoa; Chordata; Aves; Passeriformes; Pipridae.
CAGAUAAGUGGACACAGUGUACCCCAGACGGAGACGAGUUGAAGCAGCCUGGGAAGAAGAUGGGGCCCAAUCGGUCUCAAGGCGUAGCGGCUCAGCAGGGAGACGAGCGAGGUGCCGAAGGUCCAUCCGAUCAGAGGUCAAGCUAAAGGAGCCCGAGAUAGCCAGUAUGAGGCAGUACAUCAGCACAAGCCUCCAUGUCUGGGUUGUCUUGCAGCGGCCGUCUGUCCACUUCACAGGGCGAUCUUGGGAGCAGCUGAAGAGAGAGGAGCUUUCUAGGUAUCCCGGAAGGUGACAGCCACAGUGUUGGACUCCGGUCAGGGCCUCGGUGAUGUUGACUUGGAGUACUCUCAUGACAACAGGAACCUCUGAGCCAGCCCAGGUGCCCCUCCUGUGCAUUGAAGAUGGAUUCACAGCCCCGGGUCUCGGAAAGAUAAGUGCAGGGCAAAGACCCAGAGAGGGGUUGGGAGUCGGGGCAAGUAUGUGCAUUGCCCGGAGGGAUUUUUGCAAUUAGUAUGGUGCAAUGGGUGUCCUGUAGCAGGUUAUUUAGAGACCUCAAAGGAAGGGCUUACUUUGUAUCAUUGGAUUCCCGUGUGCAGGGCAGAGCAGUUCCGGUCUGUGUCACGUCCUUUGUCUCCUCCAUGUUUGUGUCCUUUGUCUCUUAAUUGUGUCACGUGGUGUGUGUCAUCACAGGUAUGGGGUGUCUCACUUGGGGUCAGCCUGGAACUGCUCUGCCCUGCUACGUGGAUCAGUGGGUAGAUAGAAUAUUGCUCAGUCUCACAUCAACAUGUCAGUUCCCUCAGACAGUUGAGCCUACGGCUGUACAGUCUGUGAGCAGGAUUGUCUUGCGAUGCCCUGCUUGGGUGUAUAGAGUCACAGCUAGGUAGAGUAGCAAACAGUGUCUAUGGUAUGGGCAUUUGUCAGGGGUCUUUGGGCUUAUAAAAUGUAUAGGCUCAGUUUGGGGGUAAGUCCAAGGUCACAG